CCUACGGGAGGCAGCAGUGGGGAAUCUUGCGCAAUGGCCGAGAGGCUGACGCAGCGACGCCGCGUGGGGGAUGAAGCAUUUCGGUGUGUAAACCCCUGUUGCUCGGGACGAACGACCGGUUUCGACCGGUGUGACGGUACCGAGUGAGGAAGCACCGGCUAACUCCGUGCCAGCAGCCGCGGUAAUACGGAGGGUGCGAGCGUUGUCCGGAAUCACUGGGCGUAAAGGGCGCGUAGGUGGUUAGAUGCGCCGGUGGUGAAAGCGCAGGGCUCAACCCUGCGUCGGCCAUCGGGACGGUCUGACUGGAGCACUGUAGAGGCAGGUGGAAUUCCGGGUGUAGCGGUGGAAUGCGUAGAGAUCCGGAAGAACACCGGUGGCGAAGGCGGCCUGCUGGGCAGUUGCUGACACUGAGGCGCGACAGCGUGGGGAGCAAACAGGAUUAGAUACCCUGGUAGUCCACGCCGUAAACGAUGGGCACUAGGUGCUUGGGGGAGCGACCCCCUGAGUGCCGACGCUAACGCAUUAAGUGCCCCGCCUGGGGAGGACGACCGCGAAGGUAGUAACGUUACAAGUAGAGUUAGAGGCGNGNGAGNGCGACGGACGACGACGAGGGAGGAGG
Molecule: ribosomal RNA, 619 nt
Filed under: uncultured bacterium
Lineage: Bacteria
Description: bacterial SSU rRNA
Rfam family: Bacterial small subunit ribosomal RNA (bases 1-536)
Source: RNAcentral